This 510-nucleotide ribosomal RNA is filed under the name bacterium enrichment culture clone ALO1_GLFRUDD03FLQDV. RNAcentral's name for it is "bacterial SSU rRNA". It matches the Rfam family "Bacterial small subunit ribosomal RNA", at positions 9 to 514 of the family's 1533-position model. The record is from RNAcentral.
GAGUUUGAUCCUGGCUCAGAUUGAACGCUGGCGGCAGGCCUAACACAUGCAAGUCGAGCAGAUGACGGGAGCUUGCUCCUUGAUUCAGCGGCGGACGGGUGAGUAAUGCCUAGGAAUCUGCCUGGUAGUGGGGGACAACGUUUCGAAAGGAACGCUAAUACCGCAUACGUCCUACGGGAGAAAGCAGGGGACCUUCGGGCCUUGCGCUAUCAGAUGAGCCUAGGUCGGAUUAGCUAGUUGGUGGGGUAAUGGCUCACCAAGGCGACGAUCCGUAACUGGUCUGAGAGGAUGAUCAGUCACACUGGAACUGAGACACGGUCCAGACUCCUACGGGAGGCAGCAGUGGGGAAUAUUGGACAAUGGGCGAAAGCCUGAUCCAGCCAUGCCGCGUGUGUGAAGAAGGUCUUCGGAUUGUAAAGCACUUUAAGUUGGGAGGAAGGGCAGUAAGUUAAUACCUUGCUGUUUUGACGUUACCGACAGAAUAAGCACCGGCUAACUCUGUGCCAGCAC